GACGAACGCUGGCGGCGUGCUUAACACAUGCCAGUCGAACGAAGAGCGAUGGAAGCUUGCUUCUAUCAAUCUUAGUGGCGAACGGGUGAGUAACGCGUAAUCAACCUGCCCUUCAGAGGGGGACAACAGUUGGAAACGACUGCUAAUACCGCAUACGAUCUAAGCUCGGCAUCGAGGAUAGAUUAAAGGUGGCCUCUACAUGUAAGCUAUCACUGAAGGAGGGGAUUGCGGCUGAUUAGCUAGUUGGAGGGGUAACGGCCUACCAAGGCGAUGAUCAGUAGCCGGUCUGAAAGGAUGAACGGCCACAUUGGGACUGAGACACGGCCCAGACUCCUACGGGAGGCAGCAGUGGGGAAUCUUCCGCAAUGGACGAAAGGCUGACGGAGCAACGCCGCGUGAGGGAUGACGGCCUUCGGGUUGUAAAGCUCUGUUAAUCGGGACGAAAGGCCUUCUUGCGAAUAGGGAGAAGGAUUGACGGUACCGGAAGAGAAAGCCACGGCUAACUACGUG
Molecule: ribosomal RNA, 510 nt
Filed under: uncultured bacterium
Lineage: Bacteria
Description: partial 16S ribosomal RNA
Rfam family: Bacterial small subunit ribosomal RNA
Source: RNAcentral